GGGGAAUUUUCCGCAAUGGGCGAAAGCCUGACGGAGCAAGACCGCGUGAGGGAGGAAGGCUCUUGUGGUUGUAAACCUCUUUUCUCAGGGAAUAAGAACUGAAGGUACCUGAGGAAUCAGCAUCGGCUAACUCCGUGCCAGCAGCCGCGGUAAUACGGAGGAUGCAAGCGUUAUCCGGAAUGAUUGGGCGUAAAGCGUCCGCAGGNUGGUUUAUCAAGUCUGCUGUCAAAGAGUUUGGCUCAACCAAAUAAAGGCAGUGGAAACUGACAGACUGGAGUGCGGUAAGGGCAGAGGGAAUUCCUGGUGUAGCGGUGAAAUGCGUAGAGAUCAGGAAGAACACCGGUGGCGAAAGCGCUCUGCUGGGCCGUAACUGACACUGAGGGACGAAAGCUAGGGGAGCGAAUGGGAUUAAUACCCCANUAGUCA
RNAcentral lists this ribosomal RNA (426 nucleotides) under uncultured cyanobacterium. RNAcentral describes it as "bacterial SSU rRNA". It matches the Rfam family "Bacterial small subunit ribosomal RNA", at positions 356 to 796 of the family's 1533-position model. Lineage: Bacteria; Bacillati; Cyanobacteriota. The record is from RNAcentral.